Molecule: ribosomal RNA, 453 nt
Filed under: uncultured marine bacterium
Lineage: Bacteria
Description: bacterial SSU rRNA
Rfam family: Bacterial small subunit ribosomal RNA
Source: RNAcentral
AAUAUUGCACAAUGGGCGCAAGCCUGAUGCAGCAACGCCGCGUGAGUGAAGAAGGCUCUUGGGUCGUAAAGCUCUUUCGGCAGGGAAGAAGGGUUCUAAGGUAAAUAAUCUUGGAAUUUGACGGUACCUGCAUAAGAAGCACCGGCUAACUCCGUGCCAGCAGCCGCGGUAAUACGGAGGGUGCGAGCGUUGUUCGGAAUUACUGGGCGUAAAGCGCGUGUAGGCGGGCUGAUAAGUCGGUUGUGAAAGCCCAGAGCUCAACUUUGGAAUUGCAGCCGAAACUAUUAGUCUUGAAUGCUUGAGAGGAUGGCGGAAUUCCUGGUGUAGAAGUGAAAUUCGUAGAUAUCAGGAGGAACACCGGAGGCGAAGGCGGCUAUCUGGCAGUGCAUUGACGCUGAGACGCGAAAGCGUGGGGAGCAAACAGGAUUAGAUACCCUGGUAGUCCACGCCGUA